Molecule: unclassified non-coding RNA, 382 nt
Filed under: soil metagenome
Description: partial contains 5.8S ribosomal RNA, internal transcribed spacer 2, and large subunit ribosomal RNA
Rfam family: 5.8S ribosomal RNA (bases 1-120)
Source: RNAcentral
GAUGAAGAACGUAGUGAAAUGCGAUAAGUAAUGUGAAUUGCAGAAUUCAGUGAAUCAUCGAAUCUUUGAACGCACCUUGCACCCUUUGGCAUUCCGAAGGGUAUGCUCGUUUGAGUGUCAUUGUACUCUCACACUUCUGAUCCUUUGGAUUGGGAGCGGUGGACUUGGGUGUUGCUGCUUUACUGUGGCUCACCUCAAAUGCAUUAGUGCAACUCUUGGUUGGACAUAGUACGGCGUGAUAAGUAUCUUCGCCGGCACCUCGCAAGAGGGUGGCUGAUCAGGAGCUCUGUGCUUUCCAACUGUCUUCAGACAACAACUGACAACUUGACCUCAAAUCGAGUAGGACCACCCGCUGAACUUAAGCAUAUCAAUAAGCGGAGGA